GGCCGGGCAGGGAGGAGGGCGGUCAGGGCCGCCCCCAAGGCCCCAGACGCCGGCCCUGGGCCGAGGGGAUCUCCAUGGUGGCCUGGCCUCAGGCUGGACCCCUCCUUCCUGCGGGCUGCGACAGGCGCGUGCCCGAGCUACGGGUCGCCGGCGAGGUCCCAAGAGGGCCGCGCGCGCCCUGGAUGGCGAAUGAUGGCCGCGCUUCACCCGACCCAGCCCGCCGGGCCUAGGGCUUGAAACUGCUUCUGCCUCCGCCUCCGCUCUGCGUCCUCCCCAGCUGGAGGAAACCUGCAGGCCCUCGCCCACUGGAGCUCAGAAGAGCCAGACGCUGUCGAUAGCUUCAGAGGUCCACGCCUGGGGAGGCCCCCAGAGAGAGGCGGAACGCUGCGGCCACAGCAACCCCUGGGCUCUGGACGGGGAGGAAGGCGGGCCUCUGCAGACAGGGCUGCGACGGGGAGGGUGCGAGCGGGGGACGGUUAAGUGGGGUGUCUCUUCCAAAGCAGACCGGCCGGCGAACGAGGCCCGAUGAAGAAAGGUUCUGCUGCGCGACGGCGGCCCAUCCCCAAUUCGGCUCGGGAUGUCCUCAUUGCCCUUGAUGCCUGGAGCUUCCAACUCGCCCCCACUAGGCCCUGGGGGUCCCUAGCCAGGGAGUGGGACAGAGUGAAGGCGCUGAACCGUUACUGCCGUUCACAGAUUUUAGGAGAACUCUUGGCUACUGUCGACUCCUCAAAAGAAGACCAGAAAAACCUGUUGAUCAAGCAAAUGGACAAAAAAAAAAUAACGUUGUCCACCAUCAAGCCAUCAGCCACUGCAGCUGCCCCCCAUGGCGCACCCCGAGGGGAAUUCAGGAUGGAGAAAAACAGGAUUCUGGCCCUAGAUAGUUAAGAUGCAGAUCAAAGCAAAAACUCCUGUGUAUCCUGGCUCCUCCCUUACCUCUUUGGAACAGUUCCUCAGAGCUAUCUGAGCUAUCUGGCCUACAGUUCUCAGUAACGUCC
This is a long non-coding RNA of Eubalaena glacialis (North Atlantic right whale), 995 nucleotides long. RefSeq lists it as uncharacterized. The transcript is spliced from 4 exons. NCBI's taxonomy places the organism in Eukaryota, Metazoa, Chordata, Mammalia, Artiodactyla, Balaenidae. The record is from RefSeq and is a predicted model, not a curated record.